Molecule: long non-coding RNA, 297 nt
Organism: Athene cunicularia (burrowing owl)
Lineage: Eukaryota; Metazoa; Chordata; Aves; Strigiformes; Strigidae
Exons: 3
Source: RefSeq, a predicted model, not a curated record
UCACACCUGCCUUUUUUCCUCCCACUGGGCUCCUCUUAGUACCAGUGGGGAGCUCUGCUUGGUCCUGGGAGAACUCAGUAUGUUACAGGUAUCUCCAGAUGCAGCCAAGAGAUGAAUAUAGAACUUCUCUUCAGCCAGACAGACCCACAGGGAAGCAGCUUCUUGACCUCACCAGUGGUGUGGAAACUAAAAAAAUACAAAACAUUUUCAGCAUUAGGAAACUUGGGGUCUUGCUGGCAAAUACGCAUCUUAAAUUAGAGAUUUCAUCUAGAUGCUUAAUGCUCCUUAGACUUGGCC